AAUAGAUACCCAGGUAGUCCACGCCGUAAACGAUGUCGACUUGGAGGUUGUGCCCUUGAGGCGUGGCUUCCGGAGCUAACGCGUUAAGUCGACCGCCUGGGGAGUACGGCCGCAAGGUUAAAACUCAAAUGAAUUGACGGGGGCCCGCACAAGCGGUGGAGCAUGUGGUUUAAUUCGAUGCAACGCGAAGAACCUUACCUACUCUUGACAUCCAGAGAACUUAGCAGAGAUGCUUUGGUGCCUUCGGGAACUCUGAGACAGGUGCUGCAUGGCUGUCGUCAGCUCGUGUUGUGAAAUGUUGGGUUAAGUCCCGCAACGAGCGCAACCCUUAUCCUUUGUUGCCAGCGGUCCGGCCGGGAACUCAAAGGAGACUGCCAGUGAUAAACUGGAGGAAGGUGGGGAUGACGUCAAGUCAUCAUGGCCCUUACGAGUAGGGCUACACACGUGCUACAAUGGCAUAUACAAAGAGAAGCGACCUCGCGAGAGCAAGCGGACCUCAUAAAGUAUGUCGUAGUCCGGAUUGGAGU
RNAcentral lists this ribosomal RNA (527 nucleotides) under uncultured bacterium. Its description in RNAcentral is "bacterial SSU rRNA". It matches the Rfam family "Bacterial small subunit ribosomal RNA", at positions 777 to 1304 of the family's 1533-position model. The record is from RNAcentral.